Ipomoea triloba (trilobed morning glory) is the source of this 476-nucleotide long non-coding RNA. RefSeq lists it as uncharacterized. Lineage: Eukaryota; Viridiplantae; Streptophyta; Magnoliopsida; Solanales; Convolvulaceae. The record is from RefSeq and is a predicted model, not a curated record. The transcript is spliced from 2 exons.
GCAGCUUUCACGAGUUACUUGUUCCUAGGAGACGCUCUUCAUUUGGGGAGUGUGAUUGGAGCAAUAAUCAUUAUUGUUGGAUUUUAUACUGUGAUGUGGGGGAAGGCCAAAGAGAAAGCUAUGAUGGAGCUUGAGGAGAUUGUGUGUGAACCUGAAUCACCAAACGGAAGAUCACCUCUGUUGCACAAGUGAGCAUACAUGUGAGCUUUCAGUCAAACACAAAAACAAACUACGGCAAAUUAUAUCAUGGAUCAGGGUCUACCUGCUGCAUUGUAGAUCCUGGUCUAAAAAUAACUUUGUAUUUGUAGUGAUAAUUUCUGUACCUGUAGUUGUCAUAUUAUGUGGCUAUGUGCCAGCAAUUUUCAAGUUAUUUGUUUAAAAUUGUUAACUGUGUAGGUACAAAAAUUUUGUAUCAAGAUUUACAAGGUAAUAUGAAUCCUGGUUCAUGGUAUAACAAUUGACAAAUUAUUUUAUAA